CCUACGGGAGGCAGCAGUGAGGAAUAUUGGUCAAUGGACGAGAGUCUGAACCAGCCAAGUAGCGUGAAGGAUGACUGCCCUAUGGGUUGUAAACUUCUUUUAUAUGGGAAUAAAAUGUUCCACGUGUGGGAUUUUGUAUGUACCAUAUGAAUAAGGAUCGGCUAACUCCGUGCCAGCAGCCGCGGUAAUACGGAGGAUCCUAGCGUUAUCCGGAUUUAUUGGGUUUAAAGGGAGCGUAGGUGGAUUGUUAAGUCAGUUGUGAAAGUUUGCGGCUCAACCGUAAAAUUGCAGUUGAAACUGGCAGUCUUGAGUACAGUAGAGGUGGGCGGAAUUCGUGGUGUAGCGGUGAAAUGCUUAGAUAUCACGAAGAACUCCGAUUGCGAAGGCAGUUCACUGGACUGCAACUGACACUGAGGCUCGAAAGUGUGGGUAUCAAACAGGAUUAGAUACCCCAGUAGUC
RNAcentral lists this ribosomal RNA (460 nucleotides) under uncultured bacterium. RNAcentral describes it as "partial 16S ribosomal RNA". It matches the Rfam family "Bacterial small subunit ribosomal RNA", at positions 338 to 795 of the family's 1533-position model. The record is from RNAcentral.